UACAGAGGGGGCAAGCGUUGUUCGGAAUUACUGGGCGUAAAGGGCGCGUAGGCGGCCUGUUUAGUCGAACGUGAAAUCCCCGGGCUCAACCCGGGAACUGCGUCCGAAACUGGCAGGCUCGAAUCCGGGAGAGGGAUGCGGAAUUCCAGGUGUAGCGGUGAAAUGCGCAGAUAUCAGGAGGAACACCGGUGGCGAAGGCGGAUCUCUGGGCCUUACCUGACGCUCAGGCGCGAAAGCUAGGGGAGCGAACAGG
This 253-nucleotide ribosomal RNA is filed under the name uncultured bacterium. Its description in RNAcentral is "partial 16S ribosomal RNA". It matches the Rfam family "Bacterial small subunit ribosomal RNA", at positions 524 to 776 of the family's 1533-position model. The record is from RNAcentral.